This 383-nucleotide ribosomal RNA is filed under the name uncultured eukaryote. RNAcentral describes it as "partial 18S ribosomal RNA". It matches the Rfam family "Eukaryotic small subunit ribosomal RNA", at positions 592 to 976 of the family's 1831-position model. The record is from RNAcentral.
CAAUAGCGUAUAUUAAAGUUGUUGCAAUUAAAAAGCUCGUAGUUGGAUUUCUGGUGGGAGCGAUCGGUCUGGCGCUUAGCGCGAGUACUUGCAUCGUCUCCGGCCAUCCUUGGGGGGAGUCUGUCUGGCAUUAGGUUGUCGGGCAGAGGAUCCUCAUCGUUUACUGUGAAAAAAUUAGAGUGUUCAAAGCAGGCUUAUGCCGUUGAAUAUAUUAGCAUGGAAUAAUAAGAUAGGACUUUGGUACUAUUUUGUUGGUUUGCGCACCAAAGUAAUGAUUAAUAGGGACAGUUGGGGGUAUUCGUAUUCCGUUGUCAGAGGUGAAAUUCUUGGAUUUACGGAAGACGAACUACUGCGAAAGCAUUUACCAAGGAUGUUUUCAUUAA